UGCUGGUCUGAUGGUAGUGGGUUAUCAGAACUUAUUAACAUUAGCAUCAUCAAAGUUGGUAUAUAAUCCCCCACUGCUAAAUUUGACUGGCUUUAA
Molecule: Y RNA, 96 nt
Organism: Callithrix jacchus (white-tufted-ear marmoset)
Lineage: Eukaryota; Metazoa; Chordata; Mammalia; Primates; Cebidae
Rfam family: Y RNA
About the family: Y RNAs are components of the Ro ribonucleoprotein particle (Ro RNP), in association with Ro60 and La proteins. The Y RNAs and Ro60 and La proteins are well conserved, but the function of the Ro RNP is not known.
Source: Ensembl